Molecule: ribosomal RNA, 737 nt
Filed under: Alnicola cf. subconspersa PAM03/21
Lineage: Eukaryota; Fungi; Basidiomycota; Agaricomycetes; Agaricales; Hymenogastraceae
Description: eukaryotic LSU rRNA
Rfam family: 5.8S ribosomal RNA (bases 222-375)
Source: RNAcentral
UGUUGCUGGCCCUUUCGGGGGCAUGUGCACACCCACCAUCCUCAUCUCUCCACCUGUGCACCUCUUGUAGACCUGAAUUGACUUUCCGAGGCAACUCGGUCGGGAAGAUUGCUGUGCUCUGUGAGCCAGCUUUCUUUGCAUGUCUAGGCCUAUGUUUUUCAUAUACCCCUAUAGAAUGUAACAGAAUGUAUCAUUGGGCCUUGUGCCUAUAAACCUUAUACAACUUUCAGCAACGGAUCUCUUGGCUCUCGCAUCGAUGAAGAACGCAGCGAAAUGCGAUAAGUAAUGUGAAUUGCAGAAUUCAGUGAAUCAUCGAAUCUUUGAACGCACCUUGCGCUCCUUGGUAUUCCGAGGAGCAUGCCUGUUUGAGUGUCAUUAAAUUCUCAACCUUAUUAACUUUUGUUGAUAAUGGAUUGGAUUGUGGGGGUUUCUUUUGCUGGAUUCUUCACAGAGAUCAGCUCCCCUUAAAUGCAUUAGCUGGUGCCCCGCGUGGACCAUCUAUUGGUGUGAUAAUUAUCUACGCCGUGGAUGUCUGCAAUCAUAUGGGUUUUGCACUGCUUCUAACCGUCUGUUCAUUCGGACAAUACAUGACAAUUUGACCUCAAAUCAGGUAGGACUACCCGCUGAACUUAAGCAUAUCAUUAAGCGGAGGAAAAGAAACUAACAAGGAUUCCCCUAGUAACUGCGAGUGAAGCGGGAAAAGCUCAAAUUUAAAAUCUGGCGGUCUCCGGCCGUCC